This 798-nucleotide ribosomal RNA is filed under the name uncultured bacterium. RNAcentral describes it as "bacterial SSU rRNA". It matches the Rfam family "Bacterial small subunit ribosomal RNA", at positions 85 to 897 of the family's 1533-position model. The record is from RNAcentral.
GCAAUACUCAGUGGCGGACGGGUGAGUAACACGUGGGAAUCUACCAUUAGAUGGGGAAUAACAGGCCGAAAGGACUGCUAAUGCCGCAUAUGUAUGUGCCUCGACAGGGGCGUAUAUGAAAGGAGUAAUCCGUCUGAUGAUGAGCCCGCGUCCGAUUAGCUAGUUGGUAAGGUAAAAGCUUACCAAGGCGACGAUCGGUAGGUGGUCUGAGAGGAUGAUCACCCACAAUGGGACUGAGACACGGCCCAUACUCCUACGGGAGGCAGCAGUGGGGAAUUUUACGCAAUGGGGGAAACCCUGACGUAGCGACACCGCGUGAGCGAAGAAGCCCUUUGGGGUGUAAAGCUCUGUCAACAGGAACGAAAAAAAUGACGGUACCUGUGGAGGAAGCAUCGGCUAACUACGUGCCAGCAGCCGCGGUAAGGCGUAGGAUGCAAGCGUUGUCCGGAUUUAUUGGGCGUAAAGAGUUCGUAGGCGGUUUGUUAAGUCUGAUGUUAAAGACCGGGGCUCAACCUCGGAAAUGCAUUGGAUACUGGCAGACUGGAGUGCAGUAGAGGCUAGUGGAAUUCCCAGUGUAGCGGUGAAAUGCGUAGAUAUUGGGAAGAACACCGGUGGCGUAGGCGACUAGCUGGGCUGUAACUGACGCUGAGGAACGAAAGCCAGGGGAGCAAAUGGGAUUAGAUACCCCAGUAGUCCUGGCCGUAAACGAUGGAUACUAGGCGUAGUGGGUAUCGACCCCUGCUGUGCCGCAGCUAACGCGAUAAGUAUCCCGCCUGAGUAGUACGGCCGCAAGGUUGA